AUUAUGCAAAAAUAACCCCGCUUUGCGCUGUUGUUUCGCUUUACGCUCAAUAUUUUUGGAACGUAACCCCGCGUUAAGCGGGGUAUUACUGUAUAUUUGUAUUAUAUCACUGUAUAUAUGUAGCAUUACUGGCUGCGCAUGCUCCUGCCUAUUUCUACUUUCCCCUAUUUCGACCGAGAAUGUCGGUGAGAGAGAACGAGCACGUUUUUCAGCCGAAAAUUCCGAGUCACGAACACUAACACACACAACUCGACAACAAAUAAAAAUCCGAUUUUCACAAACGAUCCCACGACAUAUUUAUUAUUAAAUAUUGUUCGUUUUGCAUUCAAUUGAUUCUCACUACAACAAUGGUUCAUCAUUAUUAUCAAUUUGUAGAAACCAUAAAGGUGAUAGUCCAAUUGUAUCAGUAAAAAAGAUGAAUAGCUGUUCGCUAUUUUUAGGCAUUGGUAAUCUUUUGGUUUGGUUUCCAUUAUAUUACGUUAUUUUGCCUAUUUUCAAUCAUACAACAUUCUCUUAUUGUAACAUUGAAGAAUUCUUUUCCAAACGUUUUGCGGUUCUGUCUCUGUGCAUUUUUAGUUUAUGGAGGAUUUUGUUUUUGUGGUUGGGUCGUUUUGGGUCCUCAUCAUCUCAAAUUUCGUACGCUUAGUUCAACAUUGGAAUGUUUGUUUUCACUUAUAAACGGUGAUGAUAUGUUUGCUA
Non-coding RNA from Dermatophagoides farinae (American house dust mite), 699 nucleotides. NCBI's taxonomy places the organism in Eukaryota, Metazoa, Arthropoda, Arachnida, Sarcoptiformes, Pyroglyphidae. The record is from RefSeq and is a predicted model, not a curated record.